Molecule: ribosomal RNA, 413 nt
Filed under: Ixodes scapularis (black-legged tick)
Lineage: Eukaryota; Metazoa; Arthropoda; Arachnida; Ixodida; Ixodidae
Description: partial 12S ribosomal RNA
Source: RNAcentral
UACUAUGUUACGACUUAUCUCACUUCUGAGAGCGACGGGCGAUAUGUGCAUAUUUUAGAGCUUGAUUCAAAUACUCAUAAUAUUAGUAUUUUACUAUUAAAUCCUAAAAAAAUUUUUUCAACAAAAAAAAAUUACAUUAAAAUUAAUGUAAUUCACCUCAUUCAUAAUUAUUUGAUGCACCUUGACUUAAUAUAUUUUUUAUAAAAAAUUUUUAAAUAUUACUAUUCAAUAUAAUUAAUAUAGUGGUAUACAAACUGAUUUAAAUUACUAAAUUAAGUAAGAUUAAGGCGUUGUGUCCAUUAUAGAGCAAAUUCCUCUAAUAAGCUUAAAAUACCGCCAAAAUUUUUUGAUUUCAUAAAUUUUAUUUACUCCCAAUAUAUAACUUAAAAUAAUAGGGUAUCUAAUCCUAGUUU